This 388-nucleotide long non-coding RNA is filed under the name Citrus sinensis (sweet orange). Its description in RNAcentral is "long non-coding RNA (CSIN_LNC005474)". The record is from RNAcentral. Lineage: Eukaryota; Viridiplantae; Streptophyta; Magnoliopsida; Sapindales; Rutaceae.
AACAAUGGUGAUAUUAUCAAACACCAAGGCUUUGAAAUCAAACCAACUGGCACUACCAAGUUUGAUAGCUGAAGAUUUUGUUCUGAUCCAAGAAUCCGUAGCAGUCAAGUUAUAAAGGGGGCCUGUGUACGUCUUUGGACAGAUUGCAUCAUCCCCUGUAUCAAUUUGGACUCUUGUAAUUACUGUGUUAUUUGAAUCUUCAAUGUCUAUACCAUCAUUGUUGGGUGUGUUGAAGUCUCCAUAGAUUGACAUAUCGCGAAUGAAUGUGUUAUCACAACGCACUAUGUGCAAGCUGCAAUAAAGUAAUCAAUUUGUCAAACAAUAGCAUAAAUAGAGAAAAUUAGAAGGGGCUCAAAACACAAAAUUUAUAUAACAUGAGUGAAGUUUC